RNAcentral lists this RNase P RNA (378 nucleotides) under Bacteroidales bacterium. Its description in RNAcentral is "RNase P RNA component class A". It matches the Rfam family "Bacterial RNase P class A". Rfam says of the family: Ribonuclease P (RNase P) is a ubiquitous endoribonuclease, found in archaea, bacteria and eukarya as well as chloroplasts and mitochondria. Lineage: Bacteria; Pseudomonadati; Bacteroidota; Bacteroidia; Bacteroidales. The record is from RNAcentral.
AUGGCAGGCCGGUCCGUCGCCCCGACAUUUGUGCCGGGGAGGAAAGUCCGGGCAACAGAGAGCACCAUCCUUCCUAACGGGAAGAUAUCCGAAAGGGUAUAGUAGUGUAACAGAAAAUAACAGUCCCGACUUGUCGGGAUAAUGGUGAAAAGGUGAGGUAAGAGCUCACCGGUUCCGACGGUGACGCCGGGAGCCGUACACCUGAUGGGUUGAAAGACCGCGUAUACCGGCAUCUGAGGGCUGCUCGCCCGAGCCGGGGGGUAGGUCGUAUGACCCCGUCAGCAAUGACUGGGCAAGAUAAAUGACGGAACAGGUGCAUAAGUCCUCUUGCAGGAUACCGCAUCGCGACAGAACCCGGCUUACAGGCCUGCCUUAAGA